CUUGUCCCUACCCAUAGCCGCCGGCCGAAUGGAACCGCUGAUUGUCGACUCACUGUUGGCCCUUGAGUGACGGACUCUCACCGAUUCAUCGCCUCACGCCUGGCUGUCAACUUGGGUUAGGUUUUACGGUAAGCAAUCUGCGUUAUUAUGUUGAAAUUUCUAGGUGCUAGCAAUUUCUUGGGGAAAGAUGACCUGAUUAUAAUGGACCUCGACGGUUUGCCUUUAUGUUAUAAUUGCUUGCUGCAUUACAAUUGCGUUCUGGUUGUUGAGUAGUUAACAUAAUGUUGUCAAAAACUAUGCUUCGCCACUAUUUCUCUUUGCUAGUUAGUUCAGAAAUUACAAAUAGGCAUAAUCCUGUGUUGCUAUGGAACUGUGGGCGAGAAAUCUUAGAUGUUUCCUCACUAUUUAUAUACUGAAUCUUGUGUAAGAUCUGCGUUCUUUUAUUUUUAUAAAAUCAAUGAUAAUUUAAAUUUUAUAAAAAUGAAUAAGUUGAGUCUCUUGUAAGUUUGAUCGUGACAAUACUGUCUCUACUGGGAAAAUUUUAUUGUGCUUCCAUGUUUAUUUAAAAUUUCUUCAUCUUUGUGCGAGAUGGGUACCAUGGACUUCUCACUUUACCUCUAUUGGGAAUAUCACCCUUGCUAUUAAUCUGAUCAGGGAAUCCUAUCCUUAAUACCAAUUUGGCGUAAAAUGACAUUUUGUUGUGAAAUUUUGGCCUCCGACGAAUUGGUGUAAUGAAGUGUUGCAUGCACCAAAUCAGGUGCGAUGAUGUUCAUUUGGUGUAAUAUAGAGUUUUUAUUUAUUUAUUUUGGGCUUCAUUUUAUACUACAAAAAAAUUUUAUUUUGUUGCUUUACGUGCUAGUUAAUUUUAUUAGUGAGUUUGACAAAUGGAAUUCUUUUUUAAUAAAAUCAAUUAAUGGUAUUGAAGCAUUUAUUUAUUUAAAGUGGAAAUAUAACUGAGUGUGAGUAAAUGCAAUUGAUGGGAUUGAAAUUAUUAUUAUUAUUAUUUUCUUGCGUGUGGUUGCACCAAACAUAGUUAAUGUGUUGAAUUAUGAAUUAAAGUUGAAUGAGAAGCACCGAAAUGUGCAUGUGCUUUUACUAAAAUUGGGAGAUUGAAAAUUGAAAAAGAUCUCCAACUAAUUGAGUAUGCUUUGCAUAAAUACUUUGGUGGAAAAUUGCAUUUACUAUUUAUUAAUUUAUUGCUUUUCUUUAAGAAUGGGAUUAAACAGUAAAUGAACCGUUUAAUGAUUUAGUUGAUCUCUCUCAAUAAAGGAUUAAAAUUACUUAAUUAAGGUUGAUUAAUUAAGAUUUGAUUAUUAUGUUGACGAGGAAACGUCUUUUCAGCUAGAUAAUGACAUUCAAAUAUUUCUUGAUUUGACUGAUAAAUAAACAUUAGUCUAAUAUCAUAUGCUUGAAAAUUAUGCAAAACCUGGACAAGUUUUAGAGAAGAAAUUUGGGAAGUCUAUUCUUUUUGGAAAAAUGUGGACAAUAUUUCUCUAUCCAACUAUACUCAUGGACGUCUUCUAAGCUUUGGUUUUUUCACUUUUAAAUUGUUGGACAGUAGGAAAUCUUUGUCAUUUUUAAGCCAAUUGUUAAUAUUAAUAUUUAUUUAUGCAGAAUUAGUAAUUCUUAGUUUUUUGGGAUUUUUUUGUUUAAUUGUAGGUGAAGCAUUUUGAUUCUUAGAACUACUGUGCUACUUUUUUUUUGUCUAUGUUGCCCUGUCGACUUAACGAUUAUUGUUGUAAAAUUUUAUUUUGAUUGUCGUUAGAGCAAUAUCACUGAUUGAUUGAUUUAUUUGGCAAGGUGUACAUGCAAACGCAUACUUCUUCUUUGCCAAAGGAGAAUUGCUUUUAUACCUAAGAUAUAUUGCGGCAAUUUUCUUCUUUCUACUAUUUCACCGUUGUCCUGUUGAUAUCUGUUAGUUGGAACUUAAUCCUGCACGUCUAGUUUUUGAAUAUUGCGAUGUUCAGUGUUGGAUAGUAGCUUUGCGUAUGAUGGACAAAGAGUGGUUGCACUUAUCAAAGUUAUCAUCUGAAAUUAGAUCUUAUAAACCUAGUUACCAAAUGAAAAUAAUUUCAAUGUAUAAUGAUGAUAAAUAUAUACUCGUAGAUUUUCAAGACCAUAUAGCGAUGGAGCACAUAAUUUUAUUGAACGAGCUCAUAAAAAAUGCAAUUCAGAAAUGAUAGUAUGUCCUUGUGUUAAGUGUAGGAAUCAAAUGCAUCAUCAUUAUGAUACAGUCUAUGAACAUUUAGAAAUGAUAGUAUGUCCUUGUGUUAAGUGUAGGAACAUUUGGUUCAAUUAAGCAUAAUUUGAUUUAUUAGUUAUAUCACUUGCUAGUAUUUGAUUUGAGUUCCAUAAGUGCAGAAAAGGAUUGAAGAUUGUGCCACAUCAAUUUUCGAUAUGCUUGCCAAAGAUUCCAUCUGUGAUGAUGCUAUCACUUGAGUUUUAGGUCCUGAACAUCAUGGGAGACUUAGGGGACUCGGAUUUGGAGUUGUACCAUCAAAGGUGGAUGGACAAAUACAAAGUAGGGGAAGAGUUAGAGAACUUGAAAGCCAAUUACAGAUUCAAGCACAAAGGGUGGGGGCAUUAGAAGAAAAAAUGGAAGCAUUUAUCAAAUUUUCUCAGCAGGCUAUAAGUAGUUAUUUUUUAUAUAUUUCAUGAUUAUAUAGCUUUAUAUAGCCAAUUACAUGAAUAAUAAUUUUGUAAUUUUUGUAUCAUUAUACAGAAUGUGGAGGAUAGAAAUUCAAAUGCUUUUACUCAGGUUUCCGUUUCCUAUAUUAUUAAAUGUUUAUUUAAUAUAUAUUCAGUUUGUAGCAUUCUAAUUUUAAAAAGAAUACUUUCUGUUUAUUAUGAAUUUGUAGUCACACCAAGGAAGUACUACCCCCAAGACAAAUGCAAGAUGUCAACUGUUACAUUGGUACAUGUUUGAGGAGGAAUAAGUCGUCGCAGAAGGGAAGAUUGCCACAACAGACCCAAGUGCAAAGGUGCAUCACUCGCCACUCGAUCGAGACUGUUGAAUGGUUUGGCUUGAGGAAGUCUAUAUGGGUAAUUUGACUUCAUACAGACCCACAGAUGAAUUUCGCACUCUUAGUGAAGCCAUGGGAAGUAGUGUUGCUUGGCCAAAGAGUAGUAUUAGACAUAUUAAUUAAGGUAUAUUUUCUAGAUUUAUAACAUAUGCGCAUUCUAUUUAUGUUUUCUUU
This 3197-nucleotide long non-coding RNA is filed under the name Olea europaea subsp. europaea. Lineage: Eukaryota; Viridiplantae; Streptophyta; Magnoliopsida; Lamiales; Oleaceae. The record is from RNAcentral.